ACGAAGUGUGUGAGCAGUGAGCCUCCCUCUCGACCUCUCCCACAACAGCUAUCAGUGUGUCACUCUUGAUCUCUCCCACGACAGUGUCAUUCGCUCUCGAUCACUCUCAUGACACCAUCACUCUCGAUCUCUGUCACAAGGUCACUCGCUUUCAAUCCCUCUUACGGCAUCGUUCGAUCUCUCUCAACAACGUUCAAUCUCAAGGUGUAAUUUGACUCUCUUGUUCACUCUCUCGUAGCGUUUGUUGCUUUUUUAAAUCUCAAGUUGCAAACACUCUCGAGUUUCUCUCUUACUCCCUUUGUUAGGUCUGGAUUUCAAUCAGUAUUAUGGCAAGCAUGAAACACAAGGUCUCAUGGCCAAGUGGGUCUAUGGAAGAAAUUCUUGGUGAGUUAGAGGAAAAUCCAUCAAGCCCUUGCCAAGCACCUUUUUCACAUAAGUUGAACAACAAUGGUUCUAGUCUGAAGCAAAAAAAAGUCCUAAGAGAUGCCUCAAAACCAAUGGCUUAAGUUCUUCUCAAUCAUCUUUUGCUCCUCAACUAUCGAAGAAACACAAGGUCUCAUGGCCAAGUGGGUCUAUGGAACAAAUUCUUGGUGAGUUAGAGGAAAAUGCAUCAAGCCCUUGCCAAGUACCUUUAUCACCUAAGUUGGACAAUAAUAGUUCAGUAGGAAGAAGAAAAGAGGUCUGAACAAGAUGCCUCAAAACCAAUGGCUUAAUCUAUGGAUAAUGAUUACAAGUUAGAUUGAAUGCACUUGGUUAACUAGUUGGUUGCUUUUGUGCUAAGUUGAGUAGUUAUUUGGGGAUACUAGCUAGGAAUGCACAUUUGGCUCCCAUGACAUACACAAAUUGGAAAACACUAAAACCAAAUUGGGAUGAUAUGUGGCAAAUAGUCACUGUAUUUUUUUCUUCUAAAUUAUGUUUUCCCCCUAAUUGUGCUAAGUAUUCAUUUCCUUGUAUUUUUGGUGCAGUCAAAGUUUGACAUUGAAGAAUGUGUCAAAAAAUGGGUUUUGGAAACUAUAUUUUAAGUUGGAGGACUCAUAAAUGUAGAUUAAUGAAAAAGUAUUUUAAGCUAAACAUGACUGAGGAUGCUAAUAUAAAGAAUGGACCGCCCAAUGUUCCUCUUGA
Glycine soja is the source of this 1122-nucleotide long non-coding RNA. RefSeq lists it as uncharacterized. The transcript has 4 exons. The record is from RefSeq and is a predicted model, not a curated record. NCBI's taxonomy places the organism in Eukaryota, Viridiplantae, Streptophyta, Magnoliopsida, Fabales, Fabaceae.